GGAAACUAGAAGAUAAAAGACUAGAGAUGGAAGUAAAUGGUGUCCUUUACAGCAAUGCACCACUGGACAAUAAAAGAAGCAUCUAAAACCAACUUUUUUCAAAAGCCACCCAUAGACUUCAUCUUGGCUCCUUCUCUGUAAAGUAACAGAGUAUAUAAACCUUAAGUUUCUGAGUUACAAGUCAUAAUUCACAAAGCCACUAAGCAUCAGAUAACCUACAGGUUGCUGGUUCAGGAUGAAUUAUUUCAAUGGUCUAAUAUCUCCAAGAGAAAGAUGGGGUGUGUUGCUAUGGAAAAUAGGAAUGAUGGGAAUGUUCUUGCUUGCUAGAGUAAACUCAGAGGCUGAUCAAAUGGGAGCACCUGCAGCUGGUUUAUUAUGCAUAAGCGAUUGUACUACUUGUCCAGUCAUAUGUUCACCACCUCCUCCGCCAGGUGAACCACAUUAUUAUGCACCGCCAUCUCACCAUUCUCCACCUCCUCAACCUUACAAUUAUCACCCUCCAUCACCAUCCCCACCACCACCAUCAGCUUCGCCGCCACCACCACCACCAGCAGCACCGUCGCCACGGUCAACUUCGCGACCGCCACCUUCACCUUCAUGGUAUCCUUCAUGGGGCCCUCCUAGUGUUCAAGUGCCACCUAAACAAGGACAGUACCCUUACCCUUACUACUACUUCUAUGCCUCAAACGCCUCUUCUCUUUCUUUUCAUGCUUCCUUUUACUUUUCCCUUGUGCUUUUUCAUGUUUCAUGUUGUGUGCUGCUAACUUGUUGUUGAAAGUUGUUAUUAUAUAUAUGGAGUAAGACUUGAGUUUGUAAAAAGGAGAAGGGAAAUUAAGCUAUAUAUAUAUAUAGAUAGGUAGAGAGGGAGAGAGAUUUGUUUCUUGUUAUGCUCUUCAUUUAUUUCAUAUCCAUCAAAUGUAUGAAAUCAUAAAUUUAUUUUGUUUUGUUAAUUUUUAUGUUGC
RNAcentral lists this unclassified non-coding RNA (962 nucleotides) under Hevea brasiliensis (rubber tree). Lineage: Eukaryota; Viridiplantae; Streptophyta; Magnoliopsida; Malpighiales; Euphorbiaceae. The record is from RNAcentral.